CGCUCGACAUCAGAGUUUGAUCCUGGCUCAGGAUGAACGCUGGCGGCGUGCUUAACACAUGCAAGUCGAACGGAGUUUGUAAGCGGAAGUUUUCGGACGGAAGCAUAUAACUUAGUGGCGGACGGGUGAGUAACGCGUGGAUAACCUGCCUUACACAGGGGGAUAACAGCGGGAAACCGCUGCUAAUACCGCAUAAGACCACACUGGCGCAUGUCAGAGGGGUAAAAGCCCACCAAGGCGACGAUCAGUAGCCGGUCUGAGAGGAUGAACGGCCACAUUGGGACUGAGAUACGGCCCAG
Molecule: ribosomal RNA, 299 nt
Filed under: uncultured bacterium
Lineage: Bacteria
Description: partial 16S ribosomal RNA
Rfam family: Bacterial small subunit ribosomal RNA
Source: RNAcentral